CCAAAUAUAUCUGCACUAAAUUCUUGUCAUUCACUGACCACUGAACUGUACGGCACUUGUAACUAUAUGCUUCCAGCAUAUAUUUGUGGAAAUAUAUAUAUUUUCCGGAUAGCACUAUAUAUAUGUGUGUGCAAUAUGUAUGUUGCUCGCACUCGGAAAUUAUCACGUCUUUACAGAUCGAUCAACUUUCUUAUAUUGUUUCAAAGCAGUAAUAGACGAUGGACUGAGUAGCCAGUGCAGCAGAGUUUUGAGCUUUUUACUAACUGUGCAAUCGUAUGAUCCAGAACAUUCGCAGCAGCAUAAAACGAUCGUCUAAUGCACAGCAUAGCUUAACUGUGCAAUCGUACGAUUGCCGUCUAUGCUUCCCACUGUCCGUCGCUUGUAUGUGUUCAUGGGCGUUCGGACUUAAGAGCGGCUAAGGCUUUGAUCCAACCUUAAGAGCGGCUAAAGCUUGAUCGUUCGAAAUAUCACUAGGGGGUCUCACGAGACGGAAGAAGAUAACCAAUUCCCUAUAUUUUGUGCUGGCUACUACACCACAGAUAAUUAUACAAGACCUGCUCGACGAAUAAUUAUCUGAAGAACUUGAUUAGGAGAGAUUAUUUCCUGAUUUGAAUGUCUUUCAGAUGAUACACGCCGAGAUAUUUCUUGUUCUCAUCGACCAAUUCGUAAUAGUACGGACUUCGCUUUUUAAUUACCUGAGCGGGAAUGAACACAGGGGCUAGUUAGAACUAAACUUUUUUAUAGCACUACUUUGUGUGAAAUUUUUAGCAUAUACCAAAUCUCCAAUCUUUAAUUGUGUAUCACGGCAGCGCAAAUUGUAUCUAUGCGAAUUUUCUUCGUGUGCCUUAUUGACAUUCGCUUUAGCCUGUUGCCGGAUUAGCUGUAAGGAAUCUGGGUUCUCCAUUCUAGUAUCGUCGUUCAAAAGGUCUAGUUUACGCAAGAGUGCGUUUUCCCUCAGGAUAGCUGGUGCAUUUUAAUGUUAUAUAAAAUAAUCUUAUCUGGUAAAGCGAAUGAUUAGAGGCCUUAGGGUCGAAACGAUCUUAACCUAUUCUCAAACUUUAAAUGGGUAAGAACCUUAACUUUCUUGAUAUGAAGUUUAAGGUUAUGAUAUAAUGUGCCCAGUGGGCCACUUUUGGUAAGCAGAACUGGCGCUGUGGAUGAACCAAACGUAAUGUUACGGUGCCCAAAUUAACAACUCAUGCAGAAACCAUGAAAGGCGUUGGUUGCUUAAAACAGCAGGACGGUGAUCAUGGAAGUCGAAAUCCGCUAAGGAGUGUGUAACAACUCACCUGCCGAAGCAACUAGCCCUUAAAAUGGAUGGCGCUUAAGUUGUAUACCUAUACAUUACCGCUAAAGUAGGAUGAUUUAUAUUACUUGUGAUAUAAAUUUUGAAACUUUAGUGAGUAGGAAGGUACAAUGGUAUGCGUAGAAGUGUUUGGCGUAAGCCUUCAUGGAGCUGCCAUUGGCACAGAUCUUGGUGGUAGUAGCAAAUAAUCGAAUGAGACCUUGGAGGACUGAAGUGGAGAAGGGUUUCGUGUGAACAGUGGUUGAUCACGAGUUAGUCGGUCUAAGUUCAAGGCGAAAGCCGAAAAUUUUCAAGUAAAAAAUCAGUGAGUAAUAUUGUCAAUCUUUUAUGAUUUUUAAAUACUUGAAUAAUUUGAACGAAAGGGAAUACGGUUCCAAUUCCGUAACCUGUUGAGUAUCCGUUUGUUAUUAAAUAUGGGCCUCGUGCUCAUCCUGGCAACAGGAACGACCAUAAAGAAGCCGUCGAGAGAUAUCGGAAGAGUUUUCUUUUCUGUUUUAUAGCCGUACUACCAUGGAAGUCUUUCGCAGAGAGAUAUGGUAGAUGGGCUAGAAGAGCAUGACAUAUACUGUUGUGUCGAUAUUUUCUCUCGGACCUUGAAAAUUUAUGGUGGGGACACGCAAACUUCUCAACAGGCCGUACCAAUAUCCGCAGCUGGUCUCCAAGGUGAAGAGUCUCUAGUCGAUAGAAUAAUGUAGGUAAGGGAAGUCGGCAAAUUAGAUCCGUAACUUCGGGAUAAGGAUUGGCUCUGAAGAUUGAGAUAGUCGGGCUUGAUUGGGAAACAAUAACAUGGUUUAUGUGCUCGUUCUGGGUAAAUAGAGUUUCUAUCAUUUAUGGUAGUUACUUGUUCCCCGGAUAGUUUAGUUACGUAGCCAAUUGUGGAACUUUCUUGCUAAAAUUUUUAAGAAUACUAAUUGGGUUAAACCAGUUAGUUCUUAUUAAUUAUAACGAUUAUCAAUUAACAAUCAAUUCAGAACUGGCACGGACUUGGGGAAUCCGACUGUCUAAUUAAAACAAAGCAUUGUGAUGGCCCUAGCGGGUGUUGACACAAUGUGAUUUCUGCCCAGUGCUCUGAAUGUCAAAGUGAAGAAAUUCAAGUAAGCGCGCGGUCAACGGCGGGAGUAACUAUGACUCUCUUAAGGUAGCCAAAUGCCUCGUCAUCUAAUUAGUGACGCGCAUGAAUGGAUUAACGAGAUUCCUACUGUCCCUAUCUACUAUCUAGCGAAACCACAGCCAAGGGAACGGGCUUGGAAUAAUUAGCGGGGAAAGAAGACCCUUUUGAGCUUGACUCUAAUCUGGCAGUGUAAGGAGACAUAAGAGGUGUAGCAUAAGUGGGAGAUAUUAGAUUUCGGUUUGGUAUCGACAAUGAAAUACACUACUCUUAUUGUUUCCUUACUUACUUGAUUAAAUGGAACGUGUAUCAUUUCCUAGCCAUUAUACGGAUAUAUUUAUUAUAUCUUAUGGUAUUGGUUUUGAUGCAAGCUUCUUGAUCAAAGUAUCACGAGUUUGUUAUAUAAUCGCAAACAAAUUCUUUAAUGAGAAAAUGCAUUUAUGUAUUUUCAAUUUGAAAAUUUUGGUAUAACUCCAAUUACUCAGGUAUGAUCCAAUUCAAGGACAUUGCCAGUAGGAGUUUGACUGGGCGCGUACAUCUCUCAAAUAAUAACGGAGGUGUCCCAAGGCCAGCUCAGUGCGGACGACAGAAACCACACAUAGAGCAAAAGGGCAAAUGCUGACUUGAUCUCGGUGUUCAGUACACACAGGGACAGCAAAAGCUCGGCCUAUCGAUCCUUUUGGUUUAAAGAGUUUUUAACAAGAGGUGUCAGAAAAGUUACCAUAGGGAUAACUGGCUUGUGGCGGCCAAGCGUUCAUAGCGACGUCGCUUUUUGAUCCUUCGAUGUCGGCUCUUCCUAUCAUUGUGAAGCAAAAUUCACCAAGCGUUGGAUUGUUCACCAUGCAAGGAACGUGAGCUGGGUUUAGACCGUCGUGAGACAGGUUAGUUUUACCCUACUAAUGACAAAACGUUGUUGCGACAGCAUUCCUGCGUAGUACGAGAGGAACCGCAGGUACGGACCAAUGGCACAAUACUUGUUCGAGCGAACAGUGGUAUGACGCUACGUCCGUUGGAUUAUGCCUGAACGCCUCUAAGGUCGUAUCCGUGCUGGACUGCAAUGAUAAAUAAGGGCAAUUUGCAUUGUAUGGCUUCUAAACCAUUAAAGUUUUAUAAUUUAUUUUAUAAACGACAAUGGAUGUGAUGCCAAUGUAAUUUGUAACAUAGUAAAUUGGGAGGAUC
Molecule: ribosomal RNA, 3593 nt
Filed under: Drosophila pseudoobscura pseudoobscura
Lineage: Eukaryota; Metazoa; Arthropoda; Insecta; Diptera; Drosophilidae
Description: eukaryotic LSU rRNA
Rfam family: Eukaryotic large subunit ribosomal RNA (bases 526-3593)
Source: RNAcentral